CCGAGCGCCCGGAUCGCUGGGAGGGCAGGACCGGCCUAGUAACCCCAGACAACAUGCACUGCCCAGUGCGCUCAGUCCUACUUGUCGAAACCCUGAAGGAAGCUGAGUGUGCGGACAGCAACGAUGGGGAACCCGGAGGAGCCGUGGGAGCUGGUCUGGGAAGCAGCACAUGGAGCAUUACCAGCCGCCUCUCUCCAUCGGAGGAACACAGAAGUGGGCUGAGGCUUUUGAGGGGAGAAAAACCGGUUUCGCUGCUGUUCUGAGCUGAGAGGCAGUUUCCCUCCGCCGCCGCCGUGGGCUGGGGUCACACCCAGAAGGCCCCUCCUGUGCUGCCACCCCCACAUUCCACUCCCGGACUGGGGCGAGACCAGCUUUCUGCUCAAAACCCACAGACGGCGGUCACCUAAUAUUGUCACGCUAAAUCGCAGCUACCCACGUGGCCGUGACACCAAGAAUGCAUCGUUUCACUUGCCUCAAUGUUCUGUCUCCUGUGUCCUGGAGAGACUUCUGGAUGGUUUCGGUCUGGGAUGAACCUACUCUGUUUGCAAAAUAAAAACAAGGAAGUCAA
Suricata suricatta (meerkat) is the source of this 568-nucleotide long non-coding RNA. RefSeq lists it as uncharacterized. The record is from RefSeq and is a predicted model, not a curated record. Lineage: Eukaryota; Metazoa; Chordata; Mammalia; Carnivora; Herpestidae. The transcript is spliced from 2 exons.